Molecule: long non-coding RNA, 335 nt
Filed under: Canis lupus familiaris (dog)
Lineage: Eukaryota; Metazoa; Chordata; Mammalia; Carnivora; Canidae
Description: lncRNA (ENSCAFG00845030406.1)
Source: RNAcentral
GUUUGCCUAAUAAAAUACAGGAUGACAAUAUGUCAUGGGAAAUACUAUAUAUUAUUUGUCCUUUAUCUGAAAUUCAAAUUUAACUGAUCAUCCUGUAUUUUUAUUUGCUGAAUCCGACAAUCCCAGAUGAGUGAAAAGCCAUUUUCCAGGGACAGUACCUGAGUCACCCACACCUUCUGCCUGACAUUGAGCACAAAUAUUUGGAACUGUGGCAAAUCAUCUGCUGAUACUACUUGGACAUGAAAGCAUGUGAAAAAAAUCAGCAUUGUGUCUACAUGAGGGUCUCCACCUCCAUUUUAGGGCAUUCUCCAAAAAGGGGCAGCAAGAUGUUGGCC